RNAcentral lists this transfer RNA (81 nucleotides) under Caudoviricetes sp. Its description in RNAcentral is "tRNA-Thr". Lineage: Duplodnaviria; Heunggongvirae; Uroviricota; Caudoviricetes. The record is from RNAcentral.
GAUAACAAAGCCGUUUGUAUGCAUUUGCAUAGCGCAUUCGUAAUGCGCAGGUCGUGGGUUCGAGUCCCAUUCCCAGCUCCA